AGACAGGAAAGAAAGAAGUUUGAUUCUCAUCAGUUAGGUCCAUUUUAAGACAUGCUGGAAUACAGACUACAACUUUGCUUAAACCAUGAAAGGACUAUUUGUAUUUCACGAAUGAAAGCUGGCUGUGGUUACUGGGAACAACACGGGAUUCUGUAAGUGCUACACCUCAGCAGCUUACUCCAAGAUCUGCCUGCAUAUUGGAAGAAACUAAACUUCACAGAUUUGCAUCUCCCAAAUUGCCUCCCAGUUUUGAAUGCCCUGUCACUGAAUUGAGUUGACGGGAAAAGCUCCUGCUGUCAAAAGCUGGUUUAGAUGAUUAAUUCCAGUUUCAGGUGCUCAGGCAGUGAUUUUCACUACUUAAGGCAGCUUAAUGUUAAGGCUUCGGCAGCACUCCAAUACCACAUUAAUAUUGUUUUUAUUUCAUCUAAGUGGUAAUAGUAAGUUAAGGCAGUAAUACAGUAUCAUGAUUUGAAACUUAAGAGUUCAUUUUAUAAAGAAAUCUGUACUUAAAUCAAAUAGAAGUCAUACUUAAAAAGCAAACAGAAGUUCUGUUUAAAGGAAAUACAUUUUAUUCACUCUGCUA
Molecule: long non-coding RNA, 583 nt
Organism: Pseudopipra pipra
Lineage: Eukaryota; Metazoa; Chordata; Aves; Passeriformes; Pipridae
Exons: 2
Source: RefSeq, a predicted model, not a curated record